ACCAACAGUGAUGUUAGAAAAAGGGGAAAUUACCUAGCAGUGAUGUUAGAAAAAGGGGAAAUUACCAACAGUGAUGUUAGAAAAAGGGGAAAUUACCUAGCACUAGAAGGAAAAACUAAUGAUGUUAGAAAAAAAAUAUCUAAAGUAUUUAAUUAAAGAAUUAAGUACUUGGUUUCUACAUUUUUUUUUGUUAGUUCAGGCUGUCAAAGAGAGCAACAGUACACUCACCAGAGCCAUGGCUUCACAGGUCCAAUCACUCACUUUCUCAAUUCAAAGAAUCUAAAUAAAAAAUAAAAAUCAAAAGCAAUCACAGAAACUAAACCACUAUAAAUCAAAAAAAUAUAACUCGAGUUACACAUUUCAUGGGAGUAACUUUGAAAUAAA
RNAcentral lists this long non-coding RNA (384 nucleotides) under Salvia miltiorrhiza (redroot sage). RNAcentral's name for it is "long non-coding RNA (SMIL_LNC008050)". The record is from RNAcentral. Lineage: Eukaryota; Viridiplantae; Streptophyta; Magnoliopsida; Lamiales; Lamiaceae.